ACUACCUUCCUUUUUAUGACAACCUGCUAUCGUUCCAUAAUUGCACACGUUUAAUGUAGUCGCUUGAUGAUUUUGUCUAGAGAGAGAAGCUCUGAGAAUUCGUGGGGGGUGAUGGAGAAACCCCAUCGCCGUCAGCAUCUCGCUCUCCUGAAGCGUCGCUGGCUGUCACAGAGGCUCCCCAGUCGUCGGUCCCUCCGUCGGCUACUCCGUCUACGCUCGCGGCUCCCCACCUAGCUUCGCCCGCUAUUUCUAAGGUUCCCCUGUCUUCCGCCCUUUCGCUCGCUAGAGAAGAUGCUGGGGAGCCCAUGUCUCACAGUCAUCCGUCCGUUGGGAGCGCGGGGUAAUCGGCGCAGUUGAAUGCUGCUAGAGCGGUGGCGCCUAACGGCGGUGAAACUGCUCAACCGAUUGCUGCUGGCGCGAGGGAAUCGGCACUGCCUUUCGGUCCUCUGUCCGCCGGGGGCACGGGAGAACCUCCUCACCCGAUUGCUGCUGGCACGGUGGUGAAGGUGAAGAUCUCCUCCAAUGUUAGCUAUGAUGAGAAGAUUAUGAGGCAGUGGAGGCAGCCCUGGGACUUCAACCUUGUGGUGGAAAAGUUUCUCCUCCACUGCACAUCUUGAGGGACUUUGUUGACUUUCAUUUUCUAUUACUGCGAGUGUUUUAAGUUGGAAUUGUAGGGGCUUACAUCAUAGGUCAGUGAAGGAUAAGAUACAUUUUGUUAUCCAAUCUCAUAGAUGUAAUUUGGUUUUUUUGCAAGACAUGCACUCCGAUGCAAAUACUGCACGUAGGAUGGCAUGUAGGCUAGGCGGUGGAUGGUGCUCCUGGGCGAUAUCUGUGGAGGGUGCAUCGGGAGGGAUUGCAUUGCUUUGGAACUUAUUCAUAUCCAGGUGCUCUCUUCUCGUACUGCCAUUAUGUAAGAUGGGAGAAAUGACUCAUGAAUUUUUAUUAGGAUUUAUGCGAGUAUUUCUUUGUACGGUAGGAAUUUAUUAUGGAAUGACUUAAUUGUAUUGUUUCUUUGGGCUCUUAUGGGUGAUUUUAAUUGUAUUGUUUCAGCUUUUAACAAAUUUUGUGGUA
Musa acuminata AAA Group (dessert banana) is the source of this 1071-nucleotide long non-coding RNA. RefSeq lists it as uncharacterized. The record is from RefSeq and is a predicted model, not a curated record. The transcript has 2 exons. Lineage: Eukaryota; Viridiplantae; Streptophyta; Magnoliopsida; Zingiberales; Musaceae.